CCUACGGGGGGCUGCAGUGGGGAAUAUUGGACAAUGGGCGAAAGCCUGAUCCAGCCAUGCCGCGUGUGUGAAGAAGGCCUUCGGGUUGUAAAGCACUUUCAGUGGGGAAGAAAGCCUUGGGGCUAAUACCCUCGAGGAAGGACAUCACCCACAGAAGAAGCACCGGCUAACUCCGUGCCAGCAGCCGCGGUAAUACGGAGGGUGCGAGCGUUAAUCGGAAUUACUGGGCGUAAAGCGCGCGUAGGCGGUCUGAUAAGCCGGUUGUGAAAGCCCGGGGCUCAACCUGGGAACGGCAUCCGGAGCUGUCAGGCUAGAGUGCAGGAGAGGAAGGUAGAAUUCCCGGUGUAGCGGUGAAAUGCGUAGAGAUCGGGAGGAAUACCAGUGGCGAAGGCGGCCUUCUGGACUGACACUGACGCUGAGGUGCGAAAGCGUGGGUAGCAAACGGGAUUAGAUACCCAGUAGUC
This 464-nucleotide ribosomal RNA is filed under the name Vreelandella stevensii. RNAcentral's name for it is "partial 16S ribosomal RNA". It matches the Rfam family "Bacterial small subunit ribosomal RNA", at positions 338 to 795 of the family's 1533-position model. The record is from RNAcentral. Lineage: Bacteria; Pseudomonadati; Pseudomonadota; Gammaproteobacteria; Oceanospirillales; Halomonadaceae.